UUUCCUGCAGUGUGACAUCCUG
Molecule: microRNA, 22 nt
Filed under: Xenopus laevis (African clawed frog)
Lineage: Eukaryota; Metazoa; Chordata; Amphibia; Anura; Pipidae
Also listed under: 1 other name
Description: Xla-Mir-12482-P1_3p (mature (guide))
Source: RNAcentral